RNA transcript from Hibiscus syriacus, 805 nucleotides. It is a transcript of the gene named homeobox-leucine zipper protein ATHB-40-like, with no coding region annotated. Lineage: Eukaryota; Viridiplantae; Streptophyta; Magnoliopsida; Malvales; Malvaceae. The transcript has 4 exons. The record is from RefSeq and is a predicted model, not a curated record.
UACUAAAGUCAAAGAGAGAAAAAAAAAAGGAAAUUUCUUGAAGAAAGAGAGAGAGUGAAGAUUAAUUAGCAAAGAAUCAUGACAACCCAAACGAAAGAGCUUGAAGAUCAUAUAGCUCUUAUCUCCCAAAUGUACCCUGGCCUAUACACUCAAGUUGCACCACAAGAAGGCGAAGCGAAGCCUCGACGAAGACGGAGGAAGAACAAGGGAGGGGAAAGCGGCGCUGCAGCGGCAGCUAAGAAAAGGAAGCUUAGUGAUGAACAAGUUCAUCUUCUUGAACUUAAUUUCGGAAAUGAACAUAAGCUCGAGUCCGGACGUAAAGACCGGCUUGCUUCGGAGUUGGGGCUCGACCCUCGGCAGGUGGCGGUUUGGUUCCAAAAUCGAAGGGCCCGUUGGAAGAAUAAGAAGCUUGAGGAGGAGUACAGCAAACUAAAGGCAGUCCAUGAAGGCGUUGUUCUUGAAAAAUAUCGGCUUGAAUUGGAGAUUUUAAAACUUAAAGACCAACUUCGAGAGGCGGAGAAAGAAAUCCAAGGGUCAACGGAACGAGUCGACGGGGUGUCGAGUAACAGUCCGUGUUCAUCAUCAGUAUAUUCAAUGGAAGCCGUGGAUCCACCACCUUUCCUUGGGGAAUUUGGAUAUGAUCAAGAUGUUUUCCAUAUAGGACAAAAUAGUUAUAUUCAAGGCCUGGAGUGGAUGAACCUAUAUAUGUAAUUAACUAGUAUGUGUAGAUAAUUAUGAUCUCUAUAUAUCAAAUAUAAUGUAAUUAAUCCUUAACAAGGAACUCUAAAUUUAGACAUUAAUGUUA